RNAcentral lists this ribosomal RNA (468 nucleotides) under uncultured bacterium. RNAcentral describes it as "partial 16S ribosomal RNA". It matches the Rfam family "Bacterial small subunit ribosomal RNA", at positions 28 to 507 of the family's 1533-position model. The record is from RNAcentral.
GACGAACGCUGGCGGCGUGCUUAACACAUGCAAGUCGAACGGAAAGGCCCUGCUUUUGUGGGGUGCUCGAGUGGCGAACGGGUGAGUAACACGUGAGUAACCUGCCCUUGACUUUGGGAUAACUUCAGGAAACUGGGGCUAAUACCGGAUAGGAGCUCCUGCUGCAUGGUGGGGGUUGGAAAGUUUCGGCGGUUGGGGAUGGACUCGCGGCUUAUCAGCUUGUUGGUGGGGUAGUGGCUUACCAAGGCUUUGACGGGUAGCCGGCCUGAGAGGGUGACCGGCGACAUUGGGACUAAGAUACGGACCAGACUCCUACGGGAGGCAGCAGUGGAGAAUAUUGCACAAUGGGCGGAAGCCUGAUGCAGCAACGCCGCGUGCGGGAUGACGGCCUACGGGGUGUAAACCGCUGUCGCCUGAGACGAAGCGUGAGUGACGGUAAUGGGUAAAGAAGCACCGGCUAACUACGUG